RNAcentral lists this long non-coding RNA (302 nucleotides) under Lepisosteus oculatus (spotted gar). RNAcentral describes it as "lncRNA (ENSLOCG00000022531.1)". Lineage: Eukaryota; Metazoa; Chordata; Actinopteri; Semionotiformes; Lepisosteidae. The record is from RNAcentral.
CCGCCUAGUAUAUGAGCACCAGCAGCAGUGACUUCAGUGUCUCUGUUUCCCUGUUUGUCCACAGACUCAAACUAAGGCAGAAGUACAACAGAUGAUCCAGGAGAGACUGAAGAAGGUGGAGGAGAUCAAACAGGCAGUGGAGCUCAGCAAAAGCUCUACAGAGAGAGAGAUUGUGGACAGUGUGCAGGUCUUCACUGCUCUUCGAAACUCCAUUGAGAGGAGCCAGGCUGAGCUCAUCGAGCUGAUUGAGGAGAAGCAGAGAGCAGCAGAGAGGAGGGCUGAAGGGAUCAUUAAAGAGCUGG